GCAUCGAUGAAGAACGCAGCGAAAUGCGAUAAGUAAUGUGAAUUGCAGAAUUCAGUGAAUCAUCGAAUCUUUGAACGCACAUUGCGCCCCUUGGUAUUCCGAGGGGCAUGCCUGUUCGAGCGUCAUUACACCACUCAAGCUAUGCUUGGUAUUGGGCGUCGUCCUUAGUUGGGCGCGCCUUAAAGACCUCGGCGAGGCCACUCCGGCUUUAGGCGUAGUAGAAUUUAUUCGAACGUCUGUCAAAGGAGAGGAACUCUGCCGACUGAAACCUUUAUUUUUCUAGGUUGACCUCGGAUCAGGUAGGGAUACCCGCUGAACUUAAGCAUAUCAAUAAGCGGAGGA
This 342-nucleotide ribosomal RNA is filed under the name uncultured fungus. Its description in RNAcentral is "partial contains 5.8S ribosomal RNA, internal transcribed spacer 2, and large subunit ribosomal RNA". The stretch from base 1 to 125 matches the Rfam family "5.8S ribosomal RNA", at positions 30 to 154 of the family's 154-position model. Lineage: Eukaryota; Fungi. The record is from RNAcentral. RNAcentral also lists the same sequence under 1 other name.